UGCCGGCCGGGGGACGGACUGGGA
This 24-nucleotide non-coding RNA is filed under the name Arabidopsis thaliana (thale cress). The record is from RNAcentral. Lineage: Eukaryota; Viridiplantae; Streptophyta; Magnoliopsida; Brassicales; Brassicaceae. RNAcentral also lists the same sequence under 3 other names.